UACAGAGGGGGCAAGCGUUAUUCACAUUGAUUAGGCGUAAAGGGCAUGUAGGCGGUUUUUUAAAAUUUUAUGUUAAAUUUUAGUGUCAUAACUAAAUCGCGUAAAAUAAAUAGAAAACUUGUGUAGAUUUAAAAGUAACGGAAUUGCUAGUGGAGGAGUAAAAUCCUGUAAUAUUAGUAGGAACGCUUAUGGCGAAAGCAGUUAUUUAAUUUACUACAGACGCUGAGGUGCGAAGGUUUGGGGAGCAAACGGG
This 253-nucleotide ribosomal RNA is filed under the name uncultured prokaryote. RNAcentral's name for it is "partial 16S ribosomal RNA". It matches the Rfam family "Bacterial small subunit ribosomal RNA", at positions 524 to 776 of the family's 1533-position model. The record is from RNAcentral.